RNAcentral lists this ribosomal RNA (611 nucleotides) under Flavobacterium sp. Ri1Pt_3711. RNAcentral describes it as "bacterial SSU rRNA". It matches the Rfam family "Bacterial small subunit ribosomal RNA", at positions 397 to 1008 of the family's 1533-position model. Lineage: Bacteria; Pseudomonadati; Bacteroidota; Flavobacteriia; Flavobacteriales; Flavobacteriaceae. The record is from RNAcentral.
CCGCGUGCAGGUAUGACGAGACCUAUGGAUUGUAAACUGCUUUAUGAAGUGGGAAACACUCCAACGUGUUGGAGCUUGACGGUAUCGUAAGAAUAAGGAUCGGCUAACUCCGUGCCAGCAGCCGCGGUAAUACGGAGGAUCCAAGCGUUAUCCAGAAUCAUUGGGUUUAAAGGGUCCGUAGGCGGUUUAGUAAGUCAGUGGUGAAAGCCCAUCGCUCAACGGUGGAACGGCCAUUGAUACUGCUAAACUUGAAUUAUUAGGAAGUAACUAGAAUAUGUAGUGUAGCGGUGAAAUGCUUAGAGAUUACAUGGAAUACCAAUUGCGAAGGCAGGUUACUACUAAUGGAUUGACGCUGAUGGACGAAAGCGUGGGUAGCGAACAGGAUUAGAUACCCUGGUAGUCCACGCCGUAAACGAUGGAUACUAGCUGUUGGAAGCAAUUUCAGUGGCUAAGCGAAAGUGAUAAGUAUCCCACCUGGGGAGUACGUUCGCAAGAAUGAAACUCAAAGGAAUUGACGGGGGCCCGCACAAGCGGUGGAGCAUGUGGUUUAAUUCGAUGAUACGCGAGGAACCUUACCAAGGCUUAAAUGUAGAUUGACCGGUUUGGAAACA